GGGGAGUAUUCCAUCAACAUACAUUAGUGGUUGCGUUCUAACAUUCUGAACCAGUGAGUGACCAAACAUUGUAAAUCAGCAGUGAGUGUUCCAACAUUCUGAAUCAGCUAUCAGCCAAUAUUUUAAAUCAGCAUUGAGUCUUCCAACAGUCUAAAUUAGUAGCGAAUAUUCUAAAAUUCUUAAUCAAGCAGUGAGCUUUCUAACUUUCUAAAUGAGCAGAGAGCUAACAAAUCAGUAGUGAGCAUCCUUCACUAACACACAGUGAGAAAACGGACAGCCAAUAAUGUAUCCUCACUCAGGACUCCUACC
This is a non-coding RNA of Pelobates cultripes (western spadefoot toad), 309 nucleotides long. The record is from the annotation of a GenBank genome assembly. NCBI's taxonomy places the organism in Eukaryota, Metazoa, Chordata, Amphibia, Anura, Pelobatidae.